GUUUGGGGUUAACUAUUACUUGAUUAAUAGCAUAAACUUGAUAAUUAAACUACCAACUAUUAGGCUAAUAAACCACCGCUAUAAAUUUUUUUUUCCCUUUCCCCCCAUUUUUUGUUAAAAAUUAUUAAGAACAUAUAUGCAUGUAAAUAGCAUAUAUUACACUUCCUAAAUGACGAUCUAUAUAAAUCUGUUGCUAUUUAUCCUUUGUUUUCUUCAAUGCCCAUAGAUCGCAAGGGCAAAUUAUGAUAUCCAAUACCCAGAUUUUCAUGUCUACCGAAUAAGUCAAAUACAGACUAACUGCAUUUAAAACAAUACUAAAAAAAGACAUAUUUGUAGUUACCGAGCUUAGACAGAUCGGCAAGCAAAGCCAUUAACAUCAGCUUAAAUUCAACAAGCAAAAUUAGAACGAAGAAAUGUACGAGUAAU
Molecule: unclassified non-coding RNA, 426 nt
Filed under: Hevea brasiliensis (rubber tree)
Lineage: Eukaryota; Viridiplantae; Streptophyta; Magnoliopsida; Malpighiales; Euphorbiaceae
Source: RNAcentral